UCAUCACGACCUGGAAUUCGUGAGUGUUACGACUUUGAGUCGUAUCUUUUACCAAGGUUAAGGCCCUUGGUGAAUAAGUGGUGGGCAAGACGAGUGCCAGCCGCCGCGGUAAUACUCGCGCCACGAGUGGUGACCACGAUUAUUUGGCCUAAAGUGUCCGUAGCUGGUUCGAUAAGUCUCCGGUGAAAUCUCAUAGUUGACUAUGAGGCGUGCUGGGGAUACUGACGAACUUGGGACCGGGAAAGGGCAGAGGUAUUUUUAGGGUAGGGGUAAAAUCCUAUAAUCCUAAAAGGACCACCAGUGGCGAAGGCGUCUGCCUGGAACGGAUCCGACAGUGAUGGACGAAAGCUAGGGGAGCGAUCGGGAUUAGAUACCCCAGUAGUCCUAGCCGUAAACGAUGCAAACUUGGUGUUGCCAGUUCUAUAGGAACAGGCAGUGCCGUAGCGUAGGUGUUAAGUUUGCCGCCUGGGGAGUACGGCCGCAAGGCUGAAACUUAAAGGAAUUGGCG
Molecule: ribosomal RNA, 508 nt
Filed under: uncultured prokaryote
Description: bacterial SSU rRNA
Rfam family: Archaeal small subunit ribosomal RNA
Source: RNAcentral